RNAcentral lists this ribosomal RNA (497 nucleotides) under uncultured bacterium. RNAcentral describes it as "partial 16S ribosomal RNA". It matches the Rfam family "Bacterial small subunit ribosomal RNA", at positions 28 to 507 of the family's 1533-position model. The record is from RNAcentral.
GAUGAACGCUGGCGGCGUGCCUAAUACAUGCAAGUCGAGCGAACGGACGAGAAGCUUGCUUCUCUGAUGUUAGCGGCGGACGGGUGAGUAACACGUGGAUAACCUACCUAUAAGACUGGGAUAACUUCGGGAAACCGGAGCUAAUACCGGAUAAUAUUUUGAACCGCAUGGUUCAAAAGUGAAAGACGGUCUUGCUGUCACUUAUAGAUGGAUCCGCGCUGCAUUAGCUAGUUGGUAAGGUAACGGCUUACCAAGACAACGAUGCAUAGCCGACCUGAGAGGGUGAUCGGCCACACUGGAACUGAGACACGGUCCAGACUCCUACGGGAGGCAGCAGUAGGGAAUCUUCCGCGAUGGGCGAAAGCCUGACGGAGCAACGCCGCGUGAGUGAUGAAGGUCUUCGGAUCGUAAAACUCUGUUAUUAGGGAAGAACAUAUGUGUAAGUAACUGUGCACAUCUUGACGGUACCUAAUCAGAAAGCCACGGCUAACUACGUG